UAGGGAAUCUUCCACAAUGGACGCAAGUCUGAUGGAGCAACGCCGCGUGAGUGAAGAAGGUUUUCGGAUCGUAAAGCUCUGUUGUUGGUGAAGAAGGAUAGAGGCAGUAACUGGUCUUUUUUGACGGUAAUCAACCAGAAAGUCACGGCUAACUACGUGCCAGCAGCCGCGGUAAUACGUAGGUGGCAAGCGUUGUCCGGAUUUAUUGGGCGUAAAGCGAGCGCAGGCGGAAUGAUAAGUCUGAUGUGAAAGCCCACGGCUCAACCGUGGAACUGCAUCGGAAACUGUCAUUCUUGAGUGCAGAAGAGGAGAGUGGAAUUCCAUGUGUAGCGGUGGAAUGCGUAGAUAUAUGGAAGAACACCAGUGGCGAAGGCGGCUCUCUGGUCUGCAACUGACGCUGAGGCUCGAAAGCAUGGGUAGCGAACAGG
This 428-nucleotide ribosomal RNA is filed under the name bacterium. RNAcentral's name for it is "partial 16S ribosomal RNA". It matches the Rfam family "Bacterial small subunit ribosomal RNA", at positions 355 to 776 of the family's 1533-position model. The record is from RNAcentral.